Molecule: transfer RNA, 72 nt
Filed under: Gemmatimonadales bacterium
Lineage: Bacteria; Pseudomonadati; Gemmatimonadota; Gemmatimonadia; Gemmatimonadales
Description: tRNA-Thr
Rfam family: tRNA
About the family: Transfer RNA (tRNA) molecules are approximately 80 nucleotides in length. Their secondary structure includes four short double-helical elements and three loops (D, anti-codon, and T loops).
Source: RNAcentral
GCUCGCGUAGCUCAGGGGUAGAGCGCUUCCUUGGUAGGGAUGAGGUCGCGGGUUCAAAUCCCGCCGCGAGCU